Molecule: ribosomal RNA, 466 nt
Filed under: uncultured bacterium
Lineage: Bacteria
Description: partial 16S ribosomal RNA
Rfam family: Bacterial small subunit ribosomal RNA
Source: RNAcentral
GACGAACGCUGGCGGCGUGCUUAACACAUGCAAGUCGAACGGAAAGGCCCUGCUUUUGUGGGGUGCUCGAGUGGCGAACGGGUGAGUAACACGUGAGUAACCUGCCCUUGACUUUGGGAUAACUUCAGGAAACUGGGGCUAAUACCGGAUAGGAGCUCCUGCUGCAUGGUGGGGGUUGGAAAGUUUCGGCGGUUGGGGAUGGACUCGCGGCUUAUCAGCUUGUUGGUGGGGUAGUGGCUUACCAAGGCUUUGACGGGUAGCCGGCCUGAGAGGGUGACCGGCCACAUGGGGAAUGAGAUCCGCCCGAGACUCCUACGGGAGGAAGCAGUGGGGAAUAUUGCACAAGGGGCGGAAGCCUGAUGCAGCGACGCCGCGUGCGGGAUGACGGGCUUCGGGUUGUAACCCGCUUUCGCCUGGGACGAAGCGUGAGUGAGGGUAAUGGGUAAAGAAGCACCGGCUAACUACG